GAUGAACGCUGGCGGCGUGCUUAACACAUGCAAGUCGAACGAAGCACUUUAUUUGAUUUCCUUCGGGACUGAUUAUUUUGUGACUGAGUGGCGGACGGGUGAGUAACGCGUGGGUAACCUGCCUUGUACAGGGGGAUAACAGUUGGAAACGGCUGCUAAUACCGCAUAAGCGCACGGCAUCGCACGAUGCAGUGUGAAAAACUCCGGUGGUAUAAGAUGGACCCGCGUUGGAUUAGCUAGUUGGUGAGGUAACGGCCCACCAAGGCGACGAUCCAUAGCCGACCUGAGAGGGUGACCGGCCACAGUGGGACUGAGACACGGCCCAAACUCCUACGGGAGGCAGCAGUGGGGAAUAUUGCACAAUGGGCGAAAGCCUGAUGCAGCGACGCCGCGUGAGCGAAGAAGUAUUUCGGUAUGUAAAGCUCUAUCAGCAGGGAAGAUAAUGACGGUACCUGACUAAGAAGCACCGGCUAAAUACGUG
This 481-nucleotide ribosomal RNA is filed under the name uncultured bacterium. RNAcentral describes it as "partial 16S ribosomal RNA". It matches the Rfam family "Bacterial small subunit ribosomal RNA", at positions 28 to 507 of the family's 1533-position model. The record is from RNAcentral.